GAUAAAAUGUCACGUGAGUGUAACAGAAUGUUCUCAUUCGCAAUGAGAAGGUCGGGGGUUCGAAUCCCCCUAUCUCCA
This 78-nucleotide transfer RNA is filed under the name Cellulomonadaceae bacterium. Its description in RNAcentral is "tRNA-Ala". It matches the Rfam family "tRNA". Rfam says of the family: Transfer RNA (tRNA) molecules are approximately 80 nucleotides in length. Their secondary structure includes four short double-helical elements and three loops (D, anti-codon, and T loops). The record is from RNAcentral. Lineage: Bacteria; Bacillati; Actinomycetota; Actinomycetes; Micrococcales; Cellulomonadaceae.